ACAGAGAGCAACUGUGACAGGCAGCUCUGACAUCACGGGCUCCCAGCUGACCAUUAGCCUGCGGAAUCCUGACAGAGCGACUUAACCACGCGCAAGUACUGAACAGCUAUAAGACAGUCGUCAGGUCACUGAUCAAAGCUAUACUAUUAAGAGUUAAAUGUAUCUUUCUUUUUUUAAACAUUGUUUGUUAUUUACAAAAUCACACAGGCAGUUCAUUCUACCAGCUGAAACAGAUCGGCACACUGAAAUAACAGACUGUCCAGACUGCCAUCACACAGACUGUCCCACGGACCAGGACCAGGAAUGACAAGCGGCUCAAACACCCAACAGCCUGUUGGCUUUCAGACUACCAGAGCACUGCAUGCUAACAGCUGGCAGCAGAUGGACCUACAGGCAGAUGAUGGUGUACGGUUGGAGACAUGGAGGUGAAGGGGCAGCCGCAGUGACCUAGUCAGCUGCAGCUGGAACAAGAAGUGAAAAAGAGGCGUGAGUGGCACUGCAGAAACCGCAUGACAUAUCUCAGGUCACCAAGCUGACACGGCGAAAGGUCACAGCGGCUUCCUGGCAGACACCUGAAAAAACUUUGUGUGUCCCUGGUAUCCUGUACAGCCAGACGAUGGCAGUGAUGGUCUCACCGUUUCAGCUUUUCUCCAAAAGGACGAGGCCGUUUUUGUUAAUUAUAU
Brienomyrus brachyistius is the source of this 683-nucleotide long non-coding RNA. RefSeq lists it as uncharacterized. The record is from RefSeq and is a predicted model, not a curated record. The transcript has 3 exons. NCBI's taxonomy places the organism in Eukaryota, Metazoa, Chordata, Actinopteri, Osteoglossiformes, Mormyridae.